CCUACGGGUGGCAGCAGUGAGGAAUAUUGGUCAAUGGUCGGGAGCCUGAACCAGCCAAGUCGCGUGAGGGAUGACGGUACUGUGUAUCGUAAACCUCUUUUGUCAGGGAACAAAGGCGGGGACGUGUCCCCGGAUGAGUGUACCUGAAGAAAAAGCAUCGGCUAACUCCGUGCCAGCAGCCGCGGUAAUACGGAGGAUGCGAGCGUUAUCCGGAUUUAUUGGGUUUAAAGGGUGCGCAGGCGGUUCGUUAAGUCAGCGGUAAAAUGCGGGGGCUCAACCCCGGCCCGCCGUUGAAACUGGCAGUCUUGAGUGGGAGAGAGGUAUGCGGAAUGCGCGGUGUAGCGGUGAAAUGCAUAGAUAUCGCGCAGAACUCCGAUUGCGAAGGCAGCAUACCGGCGCCAGACUGACGCUGAGGCACGAAAGCGUGGGUAUCGAACAGGAUUAGAUACCCGGGUAGUC
RNAcentral lists this ribosomal RNA (459 nucleotides) under uncultured bacterium. RNAcentral's name for it is "partial 16S ribosomal RNA". It matches the Rfam family "Bacterial small subunit ribosomal RNA", at positions 338 to 795 of the family's 1533-position model. The record is from RNAcentral.